GUGCUUACCUCAGCAGCACAUACACCGACAUUGGAACAAUACAUGGCCACUGCACACAAUACAGAGAUCAUCAUGGCCACUGCACAAGGAUGCCAUGCAAAUUCAUCAACGGUCCCAUAUUUUU
This 124-nucleotide small nuclear RNA is filed under the name Mus musculus (house mouse). The record is from RNAcentral. Lineage: Eukaryota; Metazoa; Chordata; Mammalia; Rodentia; Muridae.